CUUGUUAAAUACCAGUGUAGGUCACAUUAGCAAUCAUUUCACUGUGAGCUGUGUCUCUCCUUUUGAGAUGGUUCUUGGAGGUAGUCCUCACGAUCACAGAACUUUAUAGUGUGCAGUCCAAUUCAGUUCAGGUGCUUCCUGCUUGUUAACAUAAUCCCAAUGCAGUUUUAAAACGACAUCUAGGGUUGAUGUUAUGAUAAUG
Non-coding RNA from Pelobates cultripes (western spadefoot toad), 202 nucleotides. The record is from the annotation of a GenBank genome assembly. NCBI's taxonomy places the organism in Eukaryota, Metazoa, Chordata, Amphibia, Anura, Pelobatidae.